AUGCAGUUAAAACUUAGCACUAUGACCUUGGUGGACAAGGUUGUUGCGAGUAAACUUGCUAGCAAACUACAGGUGCGUGGUUUUGACUCCGAGAUUUCUGUCCAAAUCGAACAAGCCUACUCUCGGGAUUUUAUCCCAGUUGACAAGUCUCAUAGCCCCACCAAAGAAGCCGCACUUCUGUGGCCACACCUUAAGGGCUUAGCUAACAAGUUACAGCCAUUAUACAAAUGUGAAGUAGGUCUACUGAUCGGUUAUGAUUGUCUUUCGGCACUAGCUCCCUUAGAGGUCGUUACAGGCAAGGGAAACGAACCUUUCACACAAAAAACCAUGCUAGGUUGGAGUAUUAUUGGUUUUGCUAAUCCCCUCCUAGACAGAAAAGGUAGCCAGAGUUACGUGCAUAGAAUCACAGUCAAAGAAGUGCCUUUACCAUCAGCUGCAGAUGUACUCAAAGUCCUAGAGACAGACUUUAAUGAGAAAAACUAUGAGGAUAAGUAUGUAUCCCAGGAUGAUGUUCGCUUCAUACAAAUCCUCAGCGAUGCAGUAAGGCAGAGAGAAGAUGAGCGCUACGAGAUGCCUCUUCCCUUCAAGGACAAUAAUCCUCCAGCUAUUCCUAACAACAAGAAGCUAGCCACAGUCCGCCUGCAGCACUUAAAGAAAAGGUUGAAAGCUGAUAAACAGUAUUAUGAACAGUACAGUUCCUUUAUGAGAGGCAUUAUCAGCAAUGAUGAGGCAGAACUAGCUCCUCCUCCCUCAGAUGGAGAAACUGCCUGGUACAUCUCACAUCAUGGGGUCUCCCACCCGAAAAAACCAGACAAGCUAAGAGUCGUCUUUGAUUGCUUGGCUAAAUUUCUCAGAAUUUCCCUAAAUGACACCCUUCUCAUAGGUCCAGAUAUGAUCAACUCGUUGGUGGGAGUACUUUGCCGUUUCAGAAGAGAAAAUGUAGCCAUAGUCUGCGAUAUUCAGAGGAUGUUUCAUCAGUUCUUCGUUUGUCUAGACAUGCGCAACUAUCUCAGAUUUCUGUGGUGGCAGGGUGGACAAUUAGACACGGAACCCCAGGAGUACAGAAUGGCUGUCCAUUUGUUCGGUGCUAGUUCUUCUCCUGGAUGUGCUAAUUUUGGCCUAAAACACCUAACAUAA
Molecule: long non-coding RNA, 1137 nt
Filed under: Nothobranchius furzeri (turquoise killifish)
Lineage: Eukaryota; Metazoa; Chordata; Actinopteri; Cyprinodontiformes; Nothobranchiidae
Description: lncRNA (ENSNFUG00015009188.1)
Source: RNAcentral